GUUGAUUAUCUUGUUUUAUUUGUUUGUUUUUUAUUGGAUUUUUUUUGAAGAAUCAUUUUGGUUGUUGUAUAUUUUUGAUUUAAUUUUUAUAACGAUAGUUUAUUUGUACCGUGAGGGGUCAAUUUGUUUUAAUGUUUUUUUAGAAGUAGAUUUUGUUUGUCGUACCUUGUGUAUCAGGGUUCAUUGAAUUUUAUUAUUUAUUUUUAUUUCCCGAUUUAAGAGGAGUUAAUAAUUUGUGUUAUUUACUGUUUCAUUAGUAUUAAUAACAUAUUGUUGGUAGUGAAAUGUUAUUCGUCUUUUAUGGUUUCUGGUUUCUUGAGAAAUGAAUUUAAUUCAUGUAUUUUAUUUAACUUCUGUUGUUGGUUGCACUUAAUGUUUUAUUUUAUGCUAAGAUUAGGGGGGAUUAGCUCCCUAUUUUAUUAUUAUAAUUUAUUUGAUUAAUUUAGUUUUGUGGAUUUUAUAUUGAUUUUCAAUUUGAUUAUGUUAAAAUUUUAUUUGUUCUUUUUUUUAUUUGGGUUUUAUUUAAUUUAUUUAUUGGGAUGUUUACUUUUCUUUUAUUUGUAUGGUAAUUAUUGUGUAAUUAGUAAAUUUUUCUUUUUGUGUUGUUUUCUUGUUUUGGUGUUAAUUUCUUUUUAGGAAUUCGGCAAAUUUUUAUGCCCGCCUGUUUAACAAAAACAUCUUUUCUUGUUAGUUUUUGAAGUAUGGCCUGCCCACUGACUUGUUUGUUGAAGGGCCGCGGUAUUUUGACCGUGCAAAGGUAGCAUAAUCAUUAGUUCUUUAAUUGUGAUCUGGUAUGAAUGGCUUGACGAGGUAUAAGCUGUCUUAAUAGUAUUGUUUAUUGAAUUUAGUUUUUGAGUUAAAAUUCUUAGAUGUUUUUAUGGGACGAGAAGACCCUAUAGAGUUUUACAUUUAUUUCUACAUAGUUUUAAUUUGUUUGUUGUUUAUUUUUUGGUUGAUUAAAAUGUUUUGUUGGGGUGAUGGGAGGAAUUUUUUUAACUCCUCUUUUUUUUUGUAUACUUAUUUGUAUUUUUUUGAUCCAUUUGUUUUGAUUAUAAGAUUAAAUUACCUUAGGGAUAACAGCGUUAUCUUCCUUGAGAGUUCUUAUUGGCGGGGAGGUUUGCGACCUCGAUGUUGGAUUAAGGUGAAUUUUCGGUGCAGAAGCUGAAAUUGAUUAGGUCUGUUCGACCUUUAAAAUCUUACAUGAUCUGAGUUCAGACCGGCGUGAGCCAGGUUGGUUUCUAUCUAUAAAUUUUUAUUAUACCUUAGUACGAGAGGACCGGGUAUUUGGAAUAAUUUUAUUACUGUUGAAUAUCUUUAAUAGGUUACUAUUUUGGCAGAUAAGUGCGUUGGAUUUAGAAUCUAUUAAUG
This 1368-nucleotide ribosomal RNA is filed under the name Pericapritermes gutianensis. Its description in RNAcentral is "16S ribosomal RNA". The stretch from base 876 to 1248 matches the Rfam family "Bacterial large subunit ribosomal RNA", at positions 2073 to 2647 of the family's 2925-position model. Lineage: Eukaryota; Metazoa; Arthropoda; Insecta; Blattodea; Termitidae. The record is from RNAcentral.